UGCCAGCCGCCGCGGUAAUACGGAGGGUCCAAGCGUUAUCCGGAAUCAUUGGGUUUAAAGGGUGCGCAGGCGGUUUAUUAAGUCAGUGGUGAAAUCUCGGGGCUCAACCCCGAAACUGCCAUUGAUACUGAUAAACUUGAGUUCAGUUGGAGUAGGCGGAAUGUGUAGUGUAGCGGUGAAAUGCUUAGAUAUUCGGAGGAACACCAGUGGCGAAGGCGGCUUUCUGGACCGAUACUGACGCUGAGACGCGAAAGCGUGGGGAGCAAACAGGAUUAGAUA
Molecule: ribosomal RNA, 279 nt
Filed under: uncultured bacterium
Lineage: Bacteria
Description: partial 16S ribosomal RNA
Rfam family: Bacterial small subunit ribosomal RNA
Source: RNAcentral